UAUUUUUAGCUAUCAGACAAACUGCUGGAGAGAAGCAACAUGGAAAAGGAGAUAAGGUAUCUGCUGUGGAGAAGGAAAAAUUGCUCCUGGCAGGAACUGUGAAAUGCGGUAUUAUCGCAGCUUGGCACGAGGACAGCCAGAGGCAGCACACAUACUCAACAGCAAGGAGCUCAAGCCACUUCCUAGGGAUUUUAAGACAAACAUUGGGUCUGCUUGGUAUGACGCCAAACAGAUGGGAGACUCAACGUUAAGUGACCUGAGCACGGCUGUCUGAGAUACAGCUGAGAAUUGUACCUAGAUCUUCCAAGCUUCAGUCCAGCGCCUUCGCUCCGAUACCAUCUUUCCUACUGAACAAACUGCACAGAGCUCCUUUCAGACUGCUUUGAGGGCCCAAUCCUGUGACAUACUCAGGACAUCACGGGAUUGUAAAAGAAACUCUUCUAGGGCCCAGAGAUGUACAUUUCAUUUAUUUGCUUUUGGAGUGUGGAACCUGGUGCCCCUGAUAGAAUUACCAACUGGCUUUGUGUAAUGCUGUUUAGGAUGUGCUAGACUGCUCCAUCUGUGCAGUUUAUGUAAAUCUCUGCCAGAAUUAAAAGUAUGACACUACAAAAUCA
Gopherus flavomarginatus (Mexican gopher tortoise) is the source of this 614-nucleotide long non-coding RNA. RefSeq lists it as uncharacterized. NCBI's taxonomy places the organism in Eukaryota, Metazoa, Chordata, Testudines, Testudinidae. The transcript is spliced from 2 exons. The record is from RefSeq and is a predicted model, not a curated record.